GGAUGUGAGGGUGUUCUGGCGACAACAUCUGUCACCCCGUUGAUCGUCAGGGUUGAACUGAUCUAGCUGGCUACGUGGGGUAUCCUCUCCUCCCUCACCCAUCCAUGUGCAUCCCUCAUCCCUUCCAAAGCUGUGCACUCGGUAGAAGGGGACAACAGUCCCUGCUAGAGGAGGACUGUUCUUUGGGAAAGCAUGUUCAAGUAGCUGGAACCUCCAAACGAGCUCUCAAGAGAUUCCUGUGGGCUGGGCAUUAAUUCUAAUUUGUUAUUACUAUAAAAAUGUAGUGGUCUAGUGUCUGUAUUU
This 303-nucleotide small nuclear RNA is filed under the name Carlito syrichta (Philippine tarsier). Its description in RNAcentral is "7SK RNA (ENSTSYG00000021656.2)". It matches the Rfam family "7SK RNA". From Rfam's summary of the family: 7SK was discovered as an abundant small nuclear RNA in the mid-70s but a possible function has only recently been suggested. Two independent studies have found that 7SK RNA binds the CDK9/cyclin T complex (known as elongation factor P-TEFb). P-TEFb activates transcription by phosphorylating the C-terminal domain of RNA polymerase II. The record is from Rfam by way of RNAcentral. Lineage: Eukaryota; Metazoa; Chordata; Mammalia; Primates; Tarsiidae.